UAGGGGCACACGGAGUUGAACCAUGGACCUAUCGAUCUGCAGUCGAUUGCUCUACCACUGAGCUAUACCCCC
This 72-nucleotide transfer RNA is filed under the name Caligus rogercresseyi. RNAcentral describes it as "tRNA-Cys". The record is from RNAcentral. Lineage: Eukaryota; Metazoa; Arthropoda; Copepoda; Siphonostomatoida; Caligidae.